RNAcentral lists this unclassified non-coding RNA (774 nucleotides) under Hevea brasiliensis (rubber tree). The record is from RNAcentral. Lineage: Eukaryota; Viridiplantae; Streptophyta; Magnoliopsida; Malpighiales; Euphorbiaceae.
GUUGCAUCCAUCAUCUACACUAGAUCAAACCCUUCGUAUGCCCAUAAUGGACUAAUAACAUUUUUACACUAUAGAUGACUGCAUAAUGAGCUACUUCUAAGGAAGAAGUCUGUGAAGAAAAAAAUAGCCAUUUAAGUUUUUCUGGGCACGUAAACUAAUGAAACCAAAGAGUGUCUCCUUCCAACUAUGUCUUCUUGAUGAGGUACCCAACCAAAAGACCUAUAACACCAAUCAGCACGACAAACAACAUUGAGACGCCACCAGCAUUGCUUUUGUUGAUUUCUUUUCUUACCAGCUCCAAUUCCUGACGUAAUUUCUGAUUUUGUUGAAGAGCAGAAGCUUUUUCAUCAGUCAACCUUGAAAUCAAAGACCAUGCCUCUGAAGGGGAUGAUUUUGCUUUGGACUCCUCCAACGAUCGUGACACUGCUUCCGGAAGUGAAGUGCUUUUACUAUCAUCUUCAGUCAACGAAGUCCUGGGAGAACCACCUUCUUCAGACCCUUCAGGCACGGGAGACGGAGGGUUUGCGGGAACAUAAACAACCCUCAGUUUAAAUUCAUCAAUAACUUUUCCAUCCUCCCUAUUGAAAAUCUCUGGAGUGACAUCUUUAUUAGUUGUACCAGUGGGUGCUAUAGCACUCUGAAUUAGAAACUUAUCCUUACACUGCAUAUCAGGAGGUGCCUCUUUCUGCCCUUGCAUUGUAACUGUGACGUUGCAUGAAGAUCCAGGCAAAACAACACCAGCAUUAGGCCUAACACAGUACUUCUUGGGGUUGG